RNAcentral lists this ribosomal RNA (497 nucleotides) under uncultured bacterium. Its description in RNAcentral is "partial 16S ribosomal RNA". It matches the Rfam family "Bacterial small subunit ribosomal RNA", at positions 28 to 507 of the family's 1533-position model. The record is from RNAcentral.
GAUGAACGCUGGCGGCGUGCCUAAUACAUGCAAGUAGAACGCUGAAGGAAGGAGCUUGCUCUUUCCGGAUGAGUUGCGAACGGGUGAGUAACGCGUAGGUAACCUGCCUGGUAGCGGGGGAUAACUAUUGGAAACGAUAGCUAAUACCGCAUAACAGUAGAUGUUGCAUGAUAUCUACUUAAAAGGUGCAAUUGCACCACUACCAGAUGGACCUGCGUUGUAUUAGCUAGUUGGUGAGGUAACGGCUCACCAAGGCGACGAUACAUAGCCGACCUGAGAGGGUGAUCGGCCACACUGGGACUGAGACACGGCCCAGACUCCUACGGGAGGCAGCAGUAGGGAAUCUUCGGCAAGGGACGGAAGUCUGACCGAGCAACGCCGCGUGAGUGAAGAAGGUUUUCGGAUCGUAAAGCUCUGUUGUAAGAGAAGAACGAGUGUGAGAGUGGAAAGUUCACACUGUGACGGUAUCUUACCAGAAAGGGACGGCUAACUACGUG